Molecule: ribosomal RNA, 313 nt
Filed under: uncultured bacterium
Lineage: Bacteria
Description: partial 16S ribosomal RNA
Rfam family: Bacterial small subunit ribosomal RNA
Source: RNAcentral
UAUAAGAGACAGCAGUCGCCACGGUAAGACGAACCGUGCAAACGUUACUCGGAAUCACUGGGCUUAAAGCGCACGUAGGCGGCGACAUAAGUUAGAGGUGAAAUCCCAUCGGCUCAACCGUGGAACUGCCUCUAAUACUGUGUUGCUUGAGGGAGAACGGGGCAUUCGGAACUUCCGGUGGAGCGGUGAAAUGUGUUGAUAUCGGAAGGAACGCCGGUGGCGAAAGCGGAAUGCUGGGUCUCUUCUGACGCUGAGGUGCGAAAGCUAGGGUAGCGAACGGGAUUAGAUACCCGGGUAGUCCCUGUCUCUUAUA